UGAGAGAAAGGAAAUGAGAGAGAGAGAGAGAGAGAAGGAAGAGAAAUUUGAAAGGAAAUAAAAGGAAAAACAUUUCAUUUACAUGGUUGAGGCAAGUUUUCCAUGGUUAUUUUCUUCCCUGGUGUGAGUACUGAUUGGAAAGGUGCCUAGAAAUUGGGAAACAUGCCAUAGUUCGGUAGCUCUCACAAGACAGCGAGUUCAGCCACAAAGUCCGAGGAUGUGUAGGUGCUCAAAGAAGGGACCCGUUGUGGCUGUGACUUUGGAUGCCAGUGUUAAGAGGCAAAUGUGUGCACUGAAACUGAACUACAAUGAAGCCCUCCUCACUCAAGUGCUCAGAAUAGGUCUUGACAGGAGAAAAUGAACCCUUAGAUGUCAGUGGACCUCUAUAUAGACGGUCCAAAAUUCAGUCAGCUUUGUAUGGCAGAAAUAUAACAACACUUCCAGACUGCGGUAGAAUCUAUAUAGAGACGAUAGUUAAAACAUCUAUUAUACGGCGUAACCAUAUUUUUGCUACGUUCCUAAGGUUGGCAGUGAGUACAUAUAGACCAUUCAUUUUAGGGGGAGCUACUCUUCAAAUACUGCUGCCUUGUAAGGGUUAAAAGUAGUUCUGUCAAGGGGCUUUUAGUAAUUUUUUGCACUAAACUGAGACUUUGCUGCUUUCAAUAAUCAUCUCUUACUUGAGGUUGAUGGAAAUAAUUGGUUUGAUUGCAUGUGUUGGUUAAUAUAAAAAAGAUUCGGAAUUUUGCUUUAAGUUUUCAUUUACAGAGAUACACAGGACAUGCAUUGCCAUAGUUCAUAGGCUACACAUGGUAUUUUAUUUUGCUUUUUGUUUUAAGCAGCUCUGGGGCAUGGAAAAGCCUGGUAGUCGCAAAUUCCAUAAAAGAAGAAAGUUAGUGUUUACGAAUGGAGUGUCAAAUGCGGCCAGGGAGGCGUUGGUGUACGAAUAUAACCUCCCUGACUGACUUUGUGAAUGCCGUAACAUACCAUAGUUUUAUUUACCCACAAAAACUAAACCCUGUACAUAAUCUCCAUAAACCACCAACCCACCACUAUAGACAUGUGAAUAUAACCUCUCCUGGGCUGAGUAUAGAUGCCUUCACCCACCAUACAGCUAUAUAUAUAUUAACCCGAAGCUGCUUAUCUGUAGGAGGGUAUAGGUUAGGAUCUGAAGGGGGGUGGGUGGUUAACUCCUGCUCUCUGUACGAUUGUGUUCAUGUAAUACUUUAAAAGACUAAGAACUCUUUAGAAUGACAAGGCCACAAGCAACAUUGAUACCAGAAUAGUGAGUGUGCCAGUAGAAGGUUCUCUCAAGGGAUCUCUUUCUAGUGGGCACCAUAUAACCACAGUAGAUGAAGCCAUGAUUGCAUAUGCUAAUCAACCAAUCACUCUCUGUCUAGUGGAGGUGUAACUUGCAUGUGUAGCGUCAUGGUCAGCUUGGGGGUAAAGGCGAAGAUUCAUUGAUGAUUUUGACACCAGCACGGCACUCUUGUCAAUCAAUCAAUCUCUUUUCUGUGGCAGUGUAACUUGUGUUUUGUGUGUCGUGGUCAGUUUGUGGAUAGAGACGAAAGUUCACCGAUGAUUUUGACACCAGCAUUACACUCUUGUCAAGCAAUCAUUCAGUCUGUCUUGUGGAGGUGUGACUUGAGUCUUGUAUGAUAUGGUCAGCUUGAGGGUAGAGAUUGAAGUCCACCAGUGACGACAGCAACACUAACACAGCAUUCUUGUCCACCACCUCCUCCUCCUCCUUUUUCUUCUUGCUUUUGUUUAAUGUCCAUAUUUUCCCUUGUGGAGUUAGAUGGGCUACAAGUUUCUCCCACUCCUCACGAUCAUAUACUCUCUCCUCCCUGACUCCUCCACCUUCUCCUCCUUCUUCUUCCUCUUGAUUAAUGUCCAUAUCUUCCCUUAUGUGGCUGGACAGGCUAUGAGUUUCACCCACUCCUCACAACCUUAUACUCCCUCCUCCCUGACUCCUCCUCCUCCUGUAAAUCUAAAACACGCACAUUAGCCAGACCAACAAAAUAGUGUCUACGGUAAAAUUCUUGUGGGCUUGUGAUUCUAAAGGACUUGUAUGUGCUCAGCUGUUCCCUGUAUAUCAAUGUCUCGCUGUCAAGGUGCCAGGCCGGGUUUAAAGUAGAUAGGUGUGCCCAUACGUUAGCUAGUAAGGCAUGCAUAGGUAGCCCAUACUUAGCUUUUUCACCUCCAAGAGUGAUGUAUGGAUGAAUGAAUGCUGUUUUGUUGCCGAGUGUGAAUGUAAUGGUGAGGUUAGGUUGCAUUAGUAAGUUUGUUCAUUAUCUUUCUUUUUUCAUCAUUCUUUUCAUUAUCAUUAUCAUUGUCUUCCACUCUUUCUCUUCUUCUCUGCUAAUUCCUCUUCUUUUUCCUUCUCUUCUUCUAUUAUUAUUAUUAUUAUUAUCAUUAUUAUCAUUAUUAUGUUUAUUGUGAGAGAAAGAAUGAGAACAUGUUUCGAAACCUAAUUGGUGAGAGAGAGAGAGAGAGAGAGAGAGAGAGAGAGAGAGAGAGCAUUGACCCCUAUAUUGAUUAAGUGACAGGAAGCAUCAGAUAUGUUGACUUGGCUGUCUGGUUUUGCAAGGGUGGCAGGGAGAGGCAUUGGCUUAGGACAUAGGUACACAUUUGUUGCAUGGUAAACGUGUAGAUGGUUUUACAUUGCUCCCACACAUCGGAAAGUUAGAGUUCAUUUUAUUUAGCAAAGAAAAUAAAGCGGAAAUAAAUAAUGGCAUACGUAAAAUAUUAAGGCACUGUAAUGUCAAUGUAUAGACAGACUUGAAGUAUACCAGUUUUAUAUUGUUACCACACAUCAGAAAAUAGGAGUUUGUUAUAUUUAGCAAAAAAACAAUAGUGGAAAUGUUGUAUGGGUUAAGUGUCAGAGGUGUUGCAAUGUAAAUGUGUAGAUAGCCUUGAAGUAACUAUUCUAUAAUGUUCUUGCAGAGUAACAUGAAAGAGAUAGUGCAUUAUAUAUAGCAAAGAACAGAAUGUGGAAAUAAAUGAUUGUGUAAAAUCUAAAAAGGGUCCAGGAAUACCAAUAUGUAGAUGGGCAUAAACAGCUGUUCUAUAAUGUUCCUGCAGAAUAACAUGAAAGAGAUAGUGCAUUAUAUAUAGCUAAGAAAAGAAUGUGGAAAUAAAUAAUGGUGUAAAAUAUAAAAAGGGUCCAGGAAUACCAAUGUGUAGAUGGGCAUAAACAGCUGUUCUAUAAUGUUCCUGUAGAGUAAAGUGAAGAGGUGAUUCAUUAUAUAGACCAAAGGAAAUAGUGGAAAUAAAUAUCGGAAUAAAAUUGAAAUGUGCAGACAGAUGAAGUUAAAGUUCUAUAAUGUUCCUGCAAAGUAAUAUCAAGAGAUUGUUCAUUAUAUAUAUAGCAAAGGAAAGAAGAUGGGAAAUAAAUAAUGGCACAAAACUAAAAGGUGUUGCAAUGUACAUGUGAAGACAGAUGAAUUAAAAGAUCUAUAAUGUUCCUGCAAAGUAAUAUGGAAGAGAUUUUUCAUUAUAUAUAUAGCAAAGAAAAGAUGGGAAAUAAAUAAUGGCACAAAACUAAAAGGUGUUGCAAUGUACAUGUGAAGACAGAUGAAUUAAAAGAUCUAUAAUGUUCCUGCAAAGUAAUAUGGAAGAGAUUUUUCAUUAUAUAUAUAGCAAAGAAAAGGCAGGAAAUAAAUAAUGGCAUAAAACUGAAAGGUCUUGCAAUGUACCGUAUAUGUGUAGAGACGAACUAACCAUUUGUAUUCUCCCCACACUGUAACAUGGAGAGGUUGUGCAUUAUUCAGUAGACCUUCCAUUCAGGGCAACACAGGUACCAAAUAAUUCACGCUAAAAGGAGACGUUAUUUCAAUGGGAUAUAUCGAUUUGGGACUAGUGGGACUUCCUGUGUGUGUGUGGAGUCAGUUCAAGGGUGCUUUAUAAGGAAAUCCAUAAGAAGAAAUGUACUAAAAAUUGAGGGUCUUACUGUAUAUAGCAAAGAAGAUGGAAAUGAUUUUUUAUUUUUUUUAUUUUUUAUUUUUUUUCAGUAAAGGAGACAGAUCAAGGGCUUAAAAAAGACCGCUACUUACUGCCCCUAAAUAAUAAUAAUGGCGUAAAUUUCAAAGGUGCUGCAAUGUAAAUGUGUUUGACGGACUUGGGGUAAUAGUUUUGAUAUUACUCGUACAUGUUACAGUGUGGUAGAGUCAUGUUAUAUUCAGUAAGGGAAUGUGAGGAUAAGGGACAGCAAGUACGUAUUGUAAUUCUCGAGCAACCUUGUGGCACUCAUGAAAAAUGUUAAUUGCAGCGUGUAUACCUAGAUGAAAAAUGCAAGUAUACUAUAUAUUUAA
Molecule: long non-coding RNA, 4310 nt
Organism: Eriocheir sinensis (Chinese mitten crab)
Lineage: Eukaryota; Metazoa; Arthropoda; Malacostraca; Decapoda; Varunidae
Exons: 2
Source: RefSeq, a predicted model, not a curated record